CGUGAGAAUCUGCCCUUAGGAGAAGAAUAACUGCUGGAAACGGCUGCUAAACCUUCAUAUGUCGAGAGAUGAAAUAGCUUAGGCUGCCUAAGGAUGAGCUCACGCCUGAUUAGCUAGUUGGUGAGGUAAUGGCUCACCAAGGCCACGAUCAGUAGCUGGUUUGAGAGAACGAUCAGCCACACUGGGACUGAGACACGGCCCAGACUCCUCCGGGAGGCAGCAGUGAGGAAUUUUCCGCAAUGGGCGAAAGCCUGACGGAGCAAUACCGCGUGAGGGAUGAAGGAUUUUGGUCUGUAAACCUCUUUUCUCAAGAAAGAAGUUCUGACGGUACUUGAGGAAUAAGCAUCGGCUAACUCCGUGCCAGCAGCCGCGGUAAUACGGGAGAUGCAAGCGUUAUCCGGAAUCAUUGGGCGUAAAGCGCCUGUAGGUUGUUUAAUAAGUCUGUUGUUAAAGACUAGGGCUUAACCCUAGAAAAGCAAUGGAAACUACUAGACUAGAGUAUGGCAGGGGUA
Molecule: ribosomal RNA, 512 nt
Filed under: Cyanobacterium sp. MS-M-47
Lineage: Bacteria; Bacillati; Cyanobacteriota; Cyanophyceae; Chroococcales; Geminocystaceae
Description: bacterial SSU rRNA
Rfam family: Bacterial small subunit ribosomal RNA
Source: RNAcentral